This 495-nucleotide ribosomal RNA is filed under the name uncultured bacterium. RNAcentral describes it as "partial 16S ribosomal RNA". It matches the Rfam family "Bacterial small subunit ribosomal RNA", at positions 30 to 506 of the family's 1533-position model. The record is from RNAcentral.
AUGAACGCUGGCGGCGUGCCUAAUACAUGCAAGUCGAGCGAACAGACGAGGAGCUUGCUCCUCUGACGUUAGCGGCGGACGGGUGAGUAACACGUGGAUAACCUACCUAUAAGACUGGGAUAACUUCGGGAAACCGGAGCUAAUACCGGAUAAUAUAUUGAACCGCAUGGUUCAAUAGUGAAAGACGGUUUUGCUGUCACUUAUAGAUGGAUCCGCGCCGCAUUAGCAAGUUGGUAAGGUAACGGCUUACCAAGGCAACGAUGCGUAGCCGACCUGAGGGGGGGGCCGGCCGCAGUGGAAAGAGAAAACGGUCCAGGCCCCGAGGGGAGGGGGGGGGAGGGAACCUUCCGAAAUGGGCGAAAGCCUGACGGGGCAACCCCGGGGGGGUGAUGAAGGGCUUCGGAUGGAAAAACGUUUUUAUUAGGGAAAAAAAAAAGGGUAAGAAACGAUGGACGUCUUGGGGGAGCCCAAACAGAAAGCCGCGGCAAACUGCGG